Non-coding RNA from Punica granatum (pomegranate), 995 nucleotides. NCBI's taxonomy places the organism in Eukaryota, Viridiplantae, Streptophyta, Magnoliopsida, Myrtales, Lythraceae. The record is from RefSeq and is a predicted model, not a curated record.
UUUAGAGCUUCUUGAACAGCACGUUAUGACUUUGCACGCAGUCACGAGGACAUUAGAGUACCUGACUACAUCAUCCACAUAUUAUAUAUAUACUUGCAACCCUAGUAUAGCGGCCGCAUCAAACAUAUCCUGUCGGGAUCGCCGAAUCACAGUUGCGAUCUGAGCCGAACCUCAUAUUGACGUUUGCUGUUUCGGAUCUGUACGGCUGAAGAGAUUCGAAGAAGGAGACUAGCUAGAUUAAGACUGAUCAUACAUGGCAGGCCCACAUGGAGAUGGCAACCAAAAUGAAGCUUUUGGUUCAGGCCAACCCAUGCCCUGGAUGGCUUGGUUAGAAAGGAAAGCUCAGGCCAACCCACGCACUGAAUGGUUGAAGGCAAUCGAACCCACUAUCAAAGCGAUUGCAAGGGGACGGUUCAGCGGUGGAGCAGCAGCAGACGAGUGACUGCCCCCGGUCCCUCCUAACACCUUCCUAUAGCUAAUAAUUAUGUGUGUGUGUAAGAAAAUGAAAUUCUUUUUUAUUGAUUUAAUAAAUUGAGGGAUGUGCAAGGCGAAAUCAUGGAUACACUAUAUUGCAACAGCGUUCAGUAUGGAACUGGAGCAAUUAAUCAUGUCCGUGGUGUUGACCUGGCGUCUUCUUAUCUGACUCUGUUUGGUAACGCUUUUGCUUCAGGCCACCCCAUGCCAUUGUGGGAUUGGUUAGAAAAGAAAGCUCAUGCCCUGAUCUCCGUUGGCGGGGCUGAUCUUGAAGCUGUAUGGUUGAAGGCAAUCGAACCCACUAUCAAAGAGAUUGCAAGGUGCCAGCUUUCUAGUUGAUGUAAUGAAAUGUAAUGUAGUUUAUGUAUUUAAUGAACUGGAAAUUUUGUUGAGGAUGAUAUGGCACUUUAUCAAAUUUUUAAUGCUGUAAGUGGAGUAUGCUAGGCAGAAGAUGAAAUUAAAGUUUUAUCUGUACUAGGGGAAAAGAACCCGCGCUUCGCCGAGGGUGAUUCUUACUCUAA